CGUAACUGACGCUGAGGAGCGAAAGCGUGGGGAGCGAACAGGAUUAGAUACCCUGGUAGUCCACGCCGUAAACGGUGGGUGCUAGUUGUGGGUCACAUUCCACGUGAUCCGUGACGAAGUUAACACAUUAAGCACCCCGCCUGGGGAGUACGGUCGCAAGACUAAAACUCAAAGGAAUUGACGGGGGCCCGCACAAGCGGCGGAGCACGCGGAUUAAUUCGAUGCAACGCGAAGAACCCUACCAAGGCUUGACAUAUAGAGGAAAAGCGUAGAAAUACGCUCCCCGCAAGGUCUCUAUACAGGUGGUGCAUGGUUGUCGUCAGCUCGUGUCGUGAGAUGUUGGGUUAAGUCCCGCAACGAGCGCAACCCUCGUCCUAUGUUGCCAGCACGUAAUGGUGGGAACUCAUGGGAGACUGCCGGGGUCAACUCGGAGGAAGGUGGGGAUGACGUCAAAUCAUCAUGCCCCUUAUGUCUUGGGCUUCACGCAUGCUGCAAUGGCCAGUACAAAGGGCUGCGAUACCGCAAGGUGGAGCGAAUCCCAUAAAGCUGGUCUCAGUUCGGAUUGAGGUCUGCAACUCGACCUCAUGAAGUCGGAGUCGCUAGUAAUCGUAGAUCAGCAACGCUACGGUGAAUACGUUCCCGGGCCUUGUACACACCGCCCGUCAAGUCACGAAAGUCGGUAACACCCGAAGCCGGUGGCCUAACCGUAAGGAAGGAGCCGUCGAAGGUGGGAUCGGUGAUUGGGACUAAGUCGUAACAAGGUA
Molecule: ribosomal RNA, 764 nt
Filed under: uncultured bacterium
Lineage: Bacteria
Description: bacterial SSU rRNA
Rfam family: Bacterial small subunit ribosomal RNA
Source: RNAcentral